GUUCAAGUGGUUGAGUUUGUUUGUAACUUUCAUUGAGUUUGGUUGGGUACGAUAGAGGAGAAACAGAGCUUCUCUCCUACCACACUAGUCGCGCGAGUCUUACGAGAAGACCACCACUAGUUCUGCGCUGCAGAGAGCACUAACUCCUCACAGAGUUAGCAACUCCAGCUCGAGCCUGAGCUCUCGCUUGUUGUCACUCGACUAACGUCGAUGUCAACAGGUAAUGAUCCUUCCGCAGGUUCACCUACGGAAA
RNAcentral lists this unclassified non-coding RNA (253 nucleotides) under uncultured fungus. RNAcentral describes it as "sequence contains ITS1". Lineage: Eukaryota; Fungi. The record is from RNAcentral.